CAUCACUACGCUAGAUGCAUAUCAAUAAGCGGAGGAAAAGAGGGCUAUUACCUACGCUUAGGAUGUUGAUCUAUGACAUGUCGAUCUCAUCUAUACAUGACUCUGCGUAUAUCAAUAAGCGGAGGAAAAGAAACUAACAAGGAUUCCCUAGUAACGGCGAGUGAAGCGGGAAGAGCUCAAAUUUGAAUCUUCAAGGUUUACCUUGACGAAUUGUAGUUUAUAGAAGUGUUUUCUGUUAGUAGAGUGGCAAAAGUUCUUUGGAAUAGGACAUCAUAGAGGGUGAGAAUCCCGUAUUUGGUCAUUCCUCCUAGCUUUGUGAUACACUUUCAACGAGUCGGAUUGUUUGGGAAUGCAGUCCAAAAUGGGUGGUAAAUUUCAUCUAAAGCUGAAUAUUGGCGAGAGACCGAUAGCGAACAAGUACCGUGAGGGAAAGAUGAAAAGAACUUUGAAAAGAGAGUUAAACAGUAGCGUGAAAUUGUCAAAAGGGAAGCGUUUGACACCAGUGUUGUUUUUCCGAAAAUCAAUUACGAAUGUUUUGUUUUUGAGAAGUUAUGACUUCAUCGGCUUGCUCCUUUCUUUACGAAACUUUCUUAAUGCACUUUUCGGUUAACAAGUCAACAUCAAUUUCUUUUGUUGUAAAAGGGUAUGAGGAAGGUGGCUUUCUUUUCGGAGAAAGUGUUUAUAGCCUUGUACCUCUGCAAUCGGAGAGAUUGAGGUCUGCAGCGUAGAUCCUUCGGGGUUAGAUACAGUUUGUGCUAAGUUAUAGCUUUUCAUAGACAACUUGUUGACUAUGUUUAGUCUUGUAGCUUACUCGCUUAUGCUAUUUUACCUACGCUUAGGAUGUUGAUCUCUCACAGUCGAGC
Molecule: ribosomal RNA, 863 nt
Filed under: uncultured Neocallimastigales
Lineage: Eukaryota; Fungi; Neocallimastigomycota; Neocallimastigomycetes; Neocallimastigales
Description: partial large subunit ribosomal RNA
Rfam family: Eukaryotic large subunit ribosomal RNA
Source: RNAcentral